Molecule: unclassified non-coding RNA, 117 nt
Organism: Papio anubis (olive baboon)
Lineage: Eukaryota; Metazoa; Chordata; Mammalia; Primates; Cercopithecidae
Rfam family: Metazoan signal recognition particle RNA
About the family: The signal recognition particle (SRP) is a universally conserved ribonucleoprotein.
Source: Ensembl
GCUGGGCGUGGUGACUCACGCCUGUAAUCCCAGCACUUUGGGAGGCCGAGGUGGGAGGAUCACCUGAGGUCAGGAGUUUGAGACCAGCCUGACCAACAUGGAGAAACCCUGUCUCUU